This 401-nucleotide ribosomal RNA is filed under the name uncultured bacterium. RNAcentral's name for it is "bacterial SSU rRNA". It matches the Rfam family "Bacterial small subunit ribosomal RNA", at positions 30 to 431 of the family's 1533-position model. The record is from RNAcentral.
AUUGAACGCUGGCGGCAUGCCUUACACAUGCAAGUCGAACGGCAGCACGGGAGCAAUCCUGGUGGCGAGUGGCGAACGGGUGAGUAAUAUAUCGGAACGUGCCCAGUCGUGGGGGAUAACGUAGCGAAAGCUACGCUAAUACCGCAUACGAUCUAUGGAUGAAAGCGGGGGAUCGCAAGACCUCGCGCGAUUGGAGCGGCCGAUAUCAGAUUAGGUAGUUGGUGAGGUAAAGGCUCGCCAAGCCGACGAUCUGUAGCUGGUCUGAGAGGACGACCAGCCACACUGGGACUGAGACACGGCCCAGACUCCUACGGGAGGCAGCAGUGGGGAAUUUUUGGGACAAUGGGCGCAAGCCUGAUCCAGCAAAUGCCGCGUGCAGGAUGAAGGCCUCGGUUGUAACU